AGCUUAGAGUUUGAUCCUGGCUCAGAUUGAACGCUGGCGGCAGGCUUAACACAUGCAAGUCGAACGGUAACAUGAGUGCUUGCACUUGAUGACGAGUGGCGGACGGGUGAGUAAAGUAUGGGGAUCUGCCGAAUGGAGGGGGACAACAGUUGGAAACGACUGCUAAUACCGCAUAAAGUUGAGAGACCAAAGCAUGGGACCUUCGGGCCAUGCGCCAUUUGAUGAACCCAUAUGGGAUUAGCUAGUUGGUAGGGUAAAGGCUUACCAAGGCGACGAUCUCUAGCUGGUCUGAGAGGAUGACCAGCCACACUGGAACUGAGACACGGUCCAGACUCCUACGGGAGGCAGCAGUGGGGAAUAUUGCACAAUGGGGGAAACCCUGAUGCAGCCAUGCCGCGUGUAUGAAGAAGGCCUUCGGGUUGUAAAGUACUUUCGGUAAUGAGGAAGGUGGUGUAUCUAAUAGGUGCAUCAAUUGACGUUAAUUACAGAAGAAGCACCGGCUAACUCCGUGCCAGCAGCCGCGGUAAUACGGAGGGUGCGAGCGUUAAUCGGAAUGACUGGGCGUAAAGGGCAUGUAGGCGGAUAAUUAAGUUAGGUGUGAAAGCCCUGGGCUCAACCUAGGAAUUGCACUUAAAACUGGUUAACUAGAGUAUUGUAGAGGAAGGUAGAAUUCCACGUGUAGCGGUGAAAUGCGUAGAGAUGUGGAGGAAUACCGGUGGCGAAGGCGGCCUUCUGGACAGAUACUGACGCUGAGAUGCGAAAGCGUGGGGAGCAAACAGGAUUAGAUACCCUGGUAGUCCACGCUGUAAACGAUGUCGAUUUGGGAGUUUGUUGCCCCUGAGUGAUGGGCUCCGAAGCUAACGCGAUAAAUCGACCGCCCGGGGGAGUACGGCCCGCAAGGUUAAAACUCAAAUGAAAUUGACGGGGGCCCGCACAAGCGGUGGAACCAUGUGGUUUUAAUUCGAUGCAACGCGAAGAACCUUACCGGGUCUUGACAUCCACAGAAUCUUGCAAAAAAUGCAAAAGUGCCUUUCGGGAACU
This 1041-nucleotide ribosomal RNA is filed under the name uncultured bacterium. RNAcentral describes it as "bacterial SSU rRNA". It matches the Rfam family "Bacterial small subunit ribosomal RNA", at positions 1 to 1028 of the family's 1533-position model. The record is from RNAcentral.